UUAAACUUCCCUUCGGGGAAGAUAUAAAGUGGCGCACGGGUGAGUAACACGUAAGUAAUCUGCCUUCGAGUGGGGAAUAACCCGGGGAAACCCGAGCUAAUACCGCAUAACGCAGCGGCAUCGCAAGAUGACAGUUGUUAAAGGAGCAAUCCGCUUGAAGAGGAGCUUGCGGCAGAUUAGCUAGUUGGUAAGGUAAUGGCUUACCAAGGCUACGAUCUGUAUCCGGUCUAAGAGGACGGUCGGACACACUGACACUGAAUAACGGGUCAGACUCCUACGGGAGGCAGCAGUCGGGAAUUUUGGGCAAUGGGCGAAAGCCUGACCCAGCAACGCCGCGUGAAGGAUGAAGUAUUUCGGUAUGUAAACUUCGAAAGAAUGGGAAGAAUAAAUGACGGUACCAUUUAUAAGCCCCGGCUAACUACGUGCCAGCAGCCGCGGUAAUACGUAGGGGGCAAGCGUUGUUCGGAUUUACUGGGCGUAAAGGGCGCGUAGGCGGCAAUUCAAGUCAUCUGUGAAAUCUCCGGGCUUAACUCGGAACGGUCAGAUGAUACUGCUUUGCUAGAGUGCAGAAAGGGCAAUCGGAAUUCUUGGUGUAGCGGUGAAAUGCGUAGAUAUCAAGAGGAACACCUGAGGCGAAGGCGGGUUGCUAGGCUGACACUGACGCUGAGGCGCGAAAGCCAGGGGAGCAAACGGGAUUAGAUACCCCGGUAGUCCUGGCCCUAAACGAUGAAUACUUGGUGUCUGGAGUUAUUAUUGCUCUGGGUGCCGUCGCUAACGUUUUUAGUAUUCCGCCUGGGGAGUACGCUCGCAAGAGUGAAACUCAAAGGAAUUGACGGGGACCCGCACAAGCGGUGGAGCAUGUGGUUUAAUUCGACGCAACGUGAAGAACCUUACCU
This 896-nucleotide ribosomal RNA is filed under the name uncultured Bacillota bacterium. RNAcentral's name for it is "bacterial SSU rRNA". It matches the Rfam family "Bacterial small subunit ribosomal RNA", at positions 68 to 976 of the family's 1533-position model. Lineage: Bacteria; Bacillati; Bacillota. The record is from RNAcentral.